AGCCGCCCGUACCCUAAACCGACACAGGUGGAUAGGUAGAGAAUACCAAGGCGAUCGAGAGAAUCGUGGUGAAGGAACUCGGCAAAAUACCCCCGUAACUUCGGGAUAAGGGGGACCUGACACGUCAACACAUUUUCUGUGGGUAGCGUGGAGGGUCGCAGAGACCAGGCCCAAGCGACUGUUUACUAAAAACACAGGUCCGUGCGAAGUUGUAAGACGAUGUAUACGGACUGACUCCUGCCCGGUGCUGGAAGGUUAAGGGGAACUGUUAGCGCAAGCGAAGCGGUGAACUUAAGCCCCAGUAAACGGCGGUGGUAACUAUAACCAUCCUAAGGUAGCGAAAUUCCUUGUCGGGUAAGUUCCGACCUGCACGAAUGGAGUAACGAUUUGGGCGCUGUCUCCACCACGAACUCGGCGAAAUUGCACUACGAGUAAAGAUGCUCGUUACGCGCAGCAGGACGGAAAGACCCCGGGACCUUUACUAUAGUUUGGUAUUGGUGAUCGGUACAGCUUGUGUAGGAUAGGUGGGAGACUGUGAAGUCCGGACGCUAGUUCGGGUGGAGUCAUCGUUGAAAUACCACUCUGGCUGUUCUGGUUAUCUAACCUCGGACCAUGAUCUGGUUCAGGGACAGUGCCUGAUGGGUAGUUUGACUGGGGCGGUCGCCUCCUAAAAGGUAACGGAGGCGCCCAAAGGUUCCCUCAGCCUGGUUGGCAAUCAGGUGUUGAGUGUAAGUGCACAAGGGAGCUUGACUGUGAGACUGACAAGUCGAGCAGGGACGAAAGUCGGGACUAGUGAUCUGACGGUGGCGUGUGGAAGCGCCGUCACUCAACGGAUAAAAGGUACCCCGGGGAUAACAGGCUGAUCUUGCCCGAGCGUCCAUAGCGACGGCAUGGUUUGGCACCUCGAUGUCGGCUCGUCGCAUCCUGGGGCUGGAGUCGGUCCCAAGGGUUGGGCUGUUCGCCCAUUAAAGCGGCACGCGAGCUGGGUUUAGAACGUCGUGAGACAGUUCGGUCCCUAUCCGCUGCGCGCGUAGGAAUCUUGAGAGAGGCUGUCCUUAGUACGAGAGGACCGGGACGGACUAACCUCUGGUGUGCCAGUUGUACUGCCAAGUGCACGGCUGGUUGGCUACGUUGGGAAGUGAUAACCGCUGAAAGCAUCUAAGCGGGAAGCACGCUUCAAGAUGAGGACUCUCACACCUUGUGGUGGUAAGGCCCCCGGAAGACCACCGGGUUGAUAGGCCAGAUGUGGAAGCACAGUAAUGUGUGGAGCUGACUGGUACUAAUAGGCCGAGGGCUUGUCCCA
RNAcentral lists this ribosomal RNA (1303 nucleotides) under wastewater metagenome. RNAcentral's name for it is "bacterial LSU rRNA". It matches the Rfam family "Bacterial large subunit ribosomal RNA", at positions 1636 to 2925 of the family's 2925-position model. The record is from RNAcentral.